This 782-nucleotide ribosomal RNA is filed under the name uncultured bacterium. RNAcentral's name for it is "bacterial SSU rRNA". It matches the Rfam family "Bacterial small subunit ribosomal RNA", at positions 68 to 865 of the family's 1533-position model. The record is from RNAcentral.
GAUAUAUGGAGCUUGCUUUAUAUAACUUAGCAGCGAACGGGUGAGUAACACGUAGAUAAUCUAUCCUAUACUGGGGGAUAGCCCGAUGAAAGUUGGAUUAAUACCGCAUAUAGCUAUAUAGUUGCAUGGUUAUGUAGUGAAAGAUUUAUUGGUAUAGGAGGAGUCUGCGGCACAUUAGCUAGUAGGUGAGGUAAAGGCUUACCUAGGCGACGAUGUGUAGCCGGUCUGAGAGGAUGAACGGCCACAAUGGAACUGAGACACGGUCCAUACUCCUACGGGAGGCAGCAGUGGGGAAUAUUGCACAAUGGGGGAAACCCUGAUGCAGCAACGCCGCGUGAGUGAAGAAGGUUUUCGGAUUGUAAAGCUCUAUUAGCAGGGAAGAGGAAGGACGGUACCUGCAGAGGAAGCCACGGCUAACUACGUGCCAGCAGCCGCGGUAAUACGUAGGUGGCAAGCGUUGUUCGGAAUAACUGGGCGUAAAGGAUGCGUAGGCGGUUAAACAAGUUAUAUGUUAAAUAUAUAGGCUUAACCCGUAGAAAGCAUAUAAAACUGUUUAACUAGAGUGCAGGAGAGGUAAGUGGAAUUCCUAGUGUAGCGGUGAAAUGCGUAGAGAUUAGGAAGAACACCAGUGGCGAAGGCGACUUACUGGACUGUAACUGACGCUGAGGCAUGAGAGCAUGGGGAGCAAACAGGAUUAGAUACCCUGGUAGUCCAUGCUGUAAACGAUGGGUACUAGGUGUGGGUUGUGAAUAACAAUUCGUGCCGUCGCAAACGCAAUAAGU